RNAcentral lists this ribosomal RNA (462 nucleotides) under uncultured bacterium. RNAcentral's name for it is "partial 16S ribosomal RNA". It matches the Rfam family "Bacterial small subunit ribosomal RNA", at positions 29 to 523 of the family's 1533-position model. The record is from RNAcentral.
AACGAACGCUGGCGGCAGGCUUAACACAUGCAAGUCGAACGCAUCGCAAGAUGAGUGGCAGACGGGUGAGUAACGCGUGGGAACAUACCCUUUUCUACGGAAUAGCUCUGGGAAACUGGAAUUAAUACCGUAUACGCCCUUUACUGGUGGACAGUUUAGGGGAAAGAUUUAUCGGGGAAGGAUUGGCCCGCGUUGGAUUAGCUAGUUGGUGGGGUAACGGCCUACCAAGGCGACGAUCCAUAGCUGGUCUGAGAGGAUGAUCAGCCACAUUGGGACUGAGACACGGCCCAAACUCCUACGGGAGGCAGCAGUGGGGAAUAUUGGACAAUGGGCGCAAGCCUGAUCCAGCCAUGCCGCGUGAGUGAUGAAGGCCUUAGGGUUGUAAAGCUCUUUCACCGAUGAAGAUAAUGACGGUAGUCAGAGAAGAAGCCCCGGCUAACUUCGUGCCAGCAGCCGCCGUAA